This 496-nucleotide ribosomal RNA is filed under the name uncultured bacterium. RNAcentral describes it as "partial 16S ribosomal RNA". It matches the Rfam family "Bacterial small subunit ribosomal RNA", at positions 28 to 506 of the family's 1533-position model. The record is from RNAcentral.
GAUGAACGCUGGCGGCGUGCCUAAUACAUGCAAGUCGAGCGAACAGACGAGGAGCUUGCUCCUCUGACGUUAGCGGCGGACGGGUGAGUAACACGUGGAUACCCUACCUAUAAUUCUGGGAUAACUUCGGAAAACCGGAGCUAAUACCGGAUAAUAUAUUGAACCGCAUGGUUCAAUAGUGAAAUACGGUUUUGCUGUCACUUAUAGAUGGAUCCGCGCCUCAUUAACUGGUUGGUAAGGUAACGGCUUACCAAGGCAACGAUGCGUAGCCGACGUGAGAGGGUGAUCGGCCACACUGGAGGUGAGCCACGGCCCAGACUCUGACGGGAGGCAGCAGUAGGGAAGCGUGCGCAAAGGGCGAAAGCUUGACGGAGCAACGGAGCGCGAGUGAUGAAGGUCUGCGGAUCGUAAAACGCUGUUAUUAGGGAAGAACAAAUGUGUAAGUAACGAUGCACGUGUGGACGGUACCGAAACAGAAAGCCACGGCAAACUACGG